CCUACGGGAGGCAGCAGUGAGGAAUAUUGGUCAAUGGACGCAAGUCUGAACCAGCCAUGCCGCGUGCAGGAAGACGGCUCUAUGAGUUGUAAACUGCUUUUGUACGAGGGUAAACGCAGAUACGCGUAUCUGUCUGAAAGUAUCGUACGAAUAAGGAUCGGCUAACUCCGUGCCAGCAGCCGCGGUAAUACGGAGGAUUCAAGCGUUAUCCGGAUUUAUUGGGUUUAAAGGGUGCGUAGGCGGUCGGAAAAGUUAGAGGUGAAAUCCCGAGGCUCAACUUCGGAAUUGCCUCUGAUACUGUGCGGCUAGAGAGUAGUUGCGGGAGGCGGAAUGUAUGGUGUAGCGGUGAAAUGCGUAGAUAUCAGGAGGAACACCGGUGGCGAAGGCGGCCUGCUGGACUGCGACUGACGUUGAGGCCCGAAAGCGUGGGGAGCAAACAGGAUUAGAUACCCGGGUAGUC
RNAcentral lists this ribosomal RNA (460 nucleotides) under uncultured bacterium. Its description in RNAcentral is "partial 16S ribosomal RNA". It matches the Rfam family "Bacterial small subunit ribosomal RNA", at positions 338 to 795 of the family's 1533-position model. The record is from RNAcentral.